UAUGUUUUAUUUUAUUGUGGCUAUCUACACACCCACUUAGAUCUAUUUGGAUCAUUGCAUGUUCCGUAAAUCCUUCCAUGUGCAUGUAUAAUGUAGUUUACGGAGCACGCAAGUGUGAUCCAAGUCAAGUCAGUAUCUAUGGUCAUAAAAUCUAUGCUAUGGUCAAGUGGAGUGGUUGUCCCUAAAAAGCGAACCGGACCGGACAAAUGGACCCGAAAAGACUAAUUUACGGACCGAGCGACGGACCCGAUACAAACUAAUUUAUGGACCCGACCAAGGGACCCGAAAAGCUAAAGUACGGACCCCGCGUUAAUGACCACGGACCUGACCGACCUAGCAGCAUAGAUAUCUAUGCUAGUAUCAGUAUCUAUGAUCUUGCAAACUCUAUGAUGGCCUAGACAACAUACAGAACUUCCGUGAAAAAAAUGAUUUUUAUCUAUGGUGAUAGUGAUGCUAUCAGUUGAGUCAUAAUACAAUCAAUGAGGCCGUAGUUCAUUGUAUUGAUCACUGAUGUCUGUAAUUUCAACUUGAUGAUCGGCAAUGAGAAUGAGAACGGUUAAGAAGCUAGAUAAAACAAGCACUGAAGGCCUGACCAAGGAAGCACAUGAUGGCCAUGAAGCCAGAAUAUAAAGAAAAAAAAGAAGUGAAAAAGAAAAGAAAAAGAAA
Long non-coding RNA from Amphimedon queenslandica, 666 nucleotides. RefSeq lists it as uncharacterized. The transcript is spliced from 2 exons. NCBI's taxonomy places the organism in Eukaryota, Metazoa, Porifera, Demospongiae, Haplosclerida, Niphatidae. The record is from RefSeq and is a predicted model, not a curated record.